CUUUUGUUCUGGCGGGGACUCAUUG
This 25-nucleotide non-coding RNA is filed under the name Cricetulus griseus (Chinese hamster). Lineage: Eukaryota; Metazoa; Chordata; Mammalia; Rodentia; Cricetidae. The record is from RNAcentral.